UACGAAGGGGGCGAGCGUUGUUCGGAUUUACUGGGCGUAAAGGGCGCGCAGGCGGCGCAUUUUGUCAGGCGUGAAAGCCCCGGGCUUAACCUGGGAACUGCGUUUGAUACGGAUGGGCUAGAGUUCGGGAGAGGAGAGUGGAAUUCCCAGUGUAGAGGUGAAAUUCGUAGAUAUUGGGAAGAACACCGGUGGCGAAGGCGGCUCUCUGGACCGAGACUGACGCUGAGGCGCGAAGGCUAGGGGAGCAAACGGG
Molecule: ribosomal RNA, 253 nt
Filed under: uncultured bacterium
Lineage: Bacteria
Description: partial 16S ribosomal RNA
Rfam family: Bacterial small subunit ribosomal RNA
Source: RNAcentral